Molecule: long non-coding RNA, 1461 nt
Organism: Rosa chinensis
Lineage: Eukaryota; Viridiplantae; Streptophyta; Magnoliopsida; Rosales; Rosaceae
Exons: 5
Source: RefSeq, a predicted model, not a curated record
GGUUUGGAAUCGCGACGAUGGACGAGAUAAUGAUGUACGAGGACCUGUGGAUGGACGAGGUCCUGUUUGUGAACGGUUGCUGCAAUCCCAAGAUGUCAGCGUCCGACUCACUUGCCCUAUCCAGAAAAGAUCGGUACCUUCUUCUUGUCUUCUUAGUCUUCCUCUUGUUUCGUUGGAAUUCAGCAAAGAAAUAAUCCGCUAUCCUCUUUCGUUCUGUCGUUCUGUGUCCUGUUAUAGCUAGAAAUUUAUGCCUGAUGAGCACCUUCCUCUGUUGUUGUUUUUCUCUAACGAUGAUUCGAUGAAAAUUUAUGAUCUGGGGAGCAUAGAUAUGAGACCGGACUAGUAUAUUUUGUUUCAAGGAAUGAUAUAUAGUCUGUGACUUUAGCACCCUGAUCUGUAACUUCAGAAGCAGGGCCCUGUGCCAACAACAAAAACAUUGAUUGCAUUGUUUGCUCUUUGUGCAGACAGCGAUGCUUGGAGUACACAGCUGGUACCGGAAUUUGCUAAGCUUGGCAUAGUAUGCACAUGGUUGAAUGAGCAUGAAAUGAGAUUUUCAAUUGAUCCAACAAUAGACAUUCCGCGCAUGGAUGUCGCUAGCAGGGCUCAGGAUUCUCUUGAUGCUUUCAUAAGCGGUUUCUCGGCAGAGACGAUGGCAGGCAUUGAAAGUACUGUCGGGCGAUUACGAGUUCAUCUUUAGAGACUUUGAAGGCAAGAUUAGUGAGAAUCCAGUGCGUGAUCGCUUCAACCAGUUUGUUGACAAAUAUGAAGAAUUCGUGAGUAACCAGGGGGGAAAAAACAGUUUAUAUAUAUCCUUUGUCAAGUACUGUUAGGCAGACACUUCUUUUCCAGCAGUUCUAAUUUUUCACAAUAUAAUGGGCGUGCAGAUGAAGGUGGUUGGUCAGCGGUUCCCCUGUGAAAUUAAACAUAAUGAACAUUGUAUUGCUAUUGUGGCAAAUGCACAAAUAUAUAGAAUGAUGGCGGGUCUCGUGUGGGAAGUAGUUAUGUUCGAUAAUUAUGAUGUUCAACAAGAGCUCGAAAGUAUGUUGGAGUUUUAUGAGGGGCUUUCCGGAUUUGAACAUAAUCCAUACACUGAUUCGGGGCCUGGACAUGAUGAUAUGAUGGAACCAAGCAAAUCACUAAAUGAUCAAAUAGGCGAACUACAGAUAUGAUAAACUCCGCUUUUAUUAUCCAUGUUCAGUGCUUGAUACAUUUUUAUUUGAGAUUUUUACCUAGGCCUGGGAUCGGUUUGGCUCGACUCGGGAAUGGGCCUGUACCGAAACCGAUACCGAGUUUAUGAUCGGCCCGGUUCGGUUUGGGAUGCUGAUGCGAUCAUACCGAUCAGUGCCAAAACCGAAUAGUUCGGUACCAAUCGGUUUCAAUAGUACUGUGAACCAAAGUUUUCAGAAACCUGAAAAAAUGCAGUAGACCAGCAGUAGGCAAAUUUGCCUGCCUUCCUAAUUA